This 468-nucleotide ribosomal RNA is filed under the name uncultured bacterium. RNAcentral describes it as "partial 16S ribosomal RNA". It matches the Rfam family "Bacterial small subunit ribosomal RNA", at positions 28 to 507 of the family's 1533-position model. The record is from RNAcentral.
GACGAACGCUGGCGGCGUGCUUAACACAUGCAAGUCGAACGGAAAGGCCCUGCUUUUGUGGGGUGCUCGAGUCGCGAACGGGUGUGUAACACGUGAGUAACCUGCCCUUUACUUUGGGAUAACUUCAGGAAACUGGGGCUAAUACCGGCUAGGAGCUCCUGCUGCAUGGGGGGGGAUGGACAGUUUCGGCGGUUAGCGAUGGACGGGGGGCUUAUCAGUUUGUUGGGGGGGUAGUGGCUUACCCAGGGUUUGACGGGUAGCCGGCCUGAGAGGGUGACCGCCCACAUGGGGCCUGAGGGACGGACCAGUCGGGUACGGGGGACAGUGGGGGGGAAUAUUGCACAAUGGGGGGGCGCCUGAUACAGAGACGCCGCGUGCGGGAUGACGGCCUGCGGGUUAUGAACCGCUUUGGCCUGAGACGACGGGUGAGUGACGGUAACGGAUGAAGAAGCACCGGCUAACUACGUG